AGUGAACGCUGGCGGCAGGCCUAACACAUGCCAGUCGAACGGCAGCACAGUAAGAGCUUGCUCUUACGGGUGGCGAGUGGCGGACGGGGGAGGAAUACAUCGGAAUCUACUUUUUCGUGGGGGAUAACGUAGGGAAACUUACGCUAAUACCGCAUACGACCUACGGGGGAAAGCAGGGGAUCUUCGGACCUUGCGCGAUUGAAUGAGCCGAUGUCGGAUUAGCUAGUUGGCGGGGGAAAGGCCCACCAAGGCGACGAUCCGUAGCUGGUCAGAGAGGAUGAUCAGCCACACUGGAACUGAGACACGGUCCAGACUCCUACGGGAGGCAGCAGUGGGGAAUAUUGGACAAUGGGCGCAAGCCUGAUCCAGCCAUACCGCGUGGGUGAAGAAGGCCUUCGGGUUGUAAAGCCCUUUUGUUGGGAAAGAAAAGCAGCAGGUUAAUACCCCGCUGUUCUGACGGUACCCAAAGAAUAAGCACCGGCUAACUUCGUG
RNAcentral lists this ribosomal RNA (492 nucleotides) under uncultured bacterium. Its description in RNAcentral is "partial 16S ribosomal RNA". It matches the Rfam family "Bacterial small subunit ribosomal RNA", at positions 29 to 507 of the family's 1533-position model. The record is from RNAcentral.